UAAUACCAAAGAGGCGCAUGCUUCAGAUAGCUUGAUCGAGAUCAACCGUCGAUGACAUCAAGUGAAGGGAGAGCGUGCCGAAACAAGUUUUUAAGGUUGUUAAAUACUUGUUGGUUACUAGGGCUGAAUCCCUAGGACUGUCACAAGAGAUAUUGUGGAGAACUUUGGGGGGU
Molecule: non-coding RNA, 173 nt
Filed under: Bacteriovorax sp. BSW11_IV
Lineage: Bacteria; Pseudomonadati; Bdellovibrionota; Bacteriovoracia; Bacteriovoracales; Bacteriovoracaceae
Also listed under: 1 other name
Description: Lysine riboswitch aptamer
Rfam family: Lysine riboswitch aptamer
About the family: Riboswitches are metabolite binding domains within certain messenger RNAs that serve as precision sensors for their corresponding targets. Allosteric rearrangement of mRNA structure is mediated by ligand binding, and this results in modulation of gene expression.
Source: Rfam by way of RNAcentral